GACGAACGCUGGCGGCGUGCUUAACACAUGCAAGUCGAACGGAAAGGCCCUGCUUUUGUGGGGUGCUCGAGUGGCGAACGGGUGCGUAACACGUGAGUAACCUGCCCUUGACUUUGGGAUAACUUCAGGAAACUGGGGCUACUACCGUAUAGGAGCUCCUGCUGCAUGGUGGGGGUUGGAACGUUUCGGCGGUUGGGGAUGGACUCGCGGCUUAUCAGCUUGUUGGUGGGGUAGUGGCUUACCAAGGCUUUGACGGGUAGCCGGCCUGUGAGGGGGACCGGGCACAUUGGGACUGAGGUACGGCCCAGACUCCUACGGGAGGCAGCAGUGGGGAAUAUUGCACAAUGGGCGGAAGCCUGAUGAAGCAACGCCGCGUGCGGGAUGACGGCCUUCGGGUUGUAAACCGCUUUCGCCUGUGACGAAGCGUGAGUGACGGUAAUGGGUAAAGAAGCACCGGCUAACUACGUG
Molecule: ribosomal RNA, 468 nt
Filed under: uncultured bacterium
Lineage: Bacteria
Description: partial 16S ribosomal RNA
Rfam family: Bacterial small subunit ribosomal RNA
Source: RNAcentral